GAUGAACGCUGGCGGCGUGCCUAAUACAUGCAAGUCGAGCGAACAGAUAAGGAGCUUGCUCCUUUGACGUUAGCGGCGGACGGGUGAGUAACACGUGGGUAACCUACCUAUAAGACUGGGAUAACUUCGGGAAACCGGAGCUAAUACCGGAUAACAUUUGGAACCGCAUGGUUCUAAAGUGAAAGAUGGUUUUGCUAUAACUUAUAGAUGGACCCGCGCCGUAUUAGCUAGUUGGUAAGGUAACGGCUUACCAAGGCAACGAUACGUAGCCGACCUGAGAGGCUGAUCGGCCACACUGGAGCUGAGACAGGGUCCAUACGCCUACGGGAGGCAGCAGUAGGGAAUCUGCGGCAAUGGGCGAAAGCCUGACGGAGCAACGCCGCGUGAGUGAUGAAGGGUUUCGGCUCGUAAAACUCGGUUAUUAGGGAUGAACAACUGUGUAAGUUACUGUGCACUUCUUGACGGUACUGAAUCAGAAAGCCACGGCUAACUACGUG
This 497-nucleotide ribosomal RNA is filed under the name uncultured bacterium. Its description in RNAcentral is "partial 16S ribosomal RNA". It matches the Rfam family "Bacterial small subunit ribosomal RNA", at positions 28 to 507 of the family's 1533-position model. The record is from RNAcentral.